UACGUAGGGUGCGAGCGUUAAUCGGAAUUACUGGGCGUAAAGCGUGCGCAGGCGGUUUUGUAAGUCAGAUGUGAAAUCCCCGAGCUCAACUUGGGAACUGCGUUUGAAACUACAAGACUAGAAUAUGUCAGAGGGGGGUAGAAUUCCACGUGUAGCAGUGAAAUGCGUAGAGAUGUGGAGGAAUACCAAUGGCGAAGGCAGCCCCCUGGGUUAAUACUGACGCUCAUGCACGAAAGCGUGGGGAGCAAACAGG
This 253-nucleotide ribosomal RNA is filed under the name uncultured bacterium. RNAcentral describes it as "partial 16S ribosomal RNA". It matches the Rfam family "Bacterial small subunit ribosomal RNA", at positions 524 to 776 of the family's 1533-position model. The record is from RNAcentral.